UCUGUAUGAAAUUAAUAUACAGUCUAGCCUGCCCACUGAGUAGUUAAAGGGCCGCGGUAAUUUGACCGUGCGAAGGUAGCAUAAUCAAUAGUUUUUUAAUUGAGAGCUGGAAUGAAUGGUUAUAUAAAAAGAAUACUUUUUUAUCAAGAAAAUUUGAAAUUUACUUUUAAGUGAAAAGGCUUAAAUAAUUUAAUGGGACGAUAAGACCCUAUAAAACUUUAUAAGGGGGGCUUAGUUUUUAAUUUGUUUGUUAAAAAAAAUCAAGCAGCCCAUUGUUGGACUGGGGCGGUCGAGAUAUAUUUAUAACUGUCUUUAGGAAUAAAAUAUAUUUAAAUAGAAAGUUGACCCUUAAUAAGGAUUAAAAGAAUAAGUUACUUUAGGGAUAACAGCGUAAUUUUUUUAGAGAGUUCAUAUCGAUAAAAGUAGUUGCGACCUCGAUGUUGAAUUUAAGAUUUCCUUGGUAUGAAGAAGUACAAAGGGUGGGUCUGUUCGACCUUUAAAAUC
RNAcentral lists this ribosomal RNA (504 nucleotides) under Lissosabinea unispinosa. RNAcentral's name for it is "partial 16S ribosomal RNA". It matches the Rfam family "Bacterial large subunit ribosomal RNA", at positions 1820 to 2595 of the family's 2925-position model. The record is from RNAcentral. Lineage: Eukaryota; Metazoa; Arthropoda; Malacostraca; Decapoda; Crangonidae.